RNAcentral lists this ribosomal RNA (774 nucleotides) under uncultured Neocallimastigales. RNAcentral's name for it is "partial large subunit ribosomal RNA". It matches the Rfam family "Eukaryotic large subunit ribosomal RNA", at positions 23 to 635 of the family's 3401-position model. Lineage: Eukaryota; Fungi; Neocallimastigomycota; Neocallimastigomycetes; Neocallimastigales. The record is from RNAcentral.
GAGAGAGACAUGCGCGCAUAUCAAUAAGCGGAGGAAAAGAAACUAACAAGGAUUCCCUUAGUAACGGCGAGUGAAGCGGGAAGAGCUCAAAUUUGAGAUCUUCAAGGUUUUACCUUGACGAAUUGUAGUUUAAAGAAGUGUUUUCUGCUGAAGUUUUGGUAAAAGUUCUUUGGAAUAGGACAUCAUAGAGGGUGAGAAUCCCGUAUUUGACCAUUAUUUUCAGCUUCGUGAUACACUUUCAAAGAGUCGGAUUGUUUGGGAAUGCAGUCCAAAAUGGGUGGUAAAUUUCAUCUAAAGCUAAAUAUUGGCGAGAGACCGAUAGCGAACAAGUACCGUGAGGGAAAGAUGAAAAGAACUUUGAAAAGAGAGUUAAACAGUACGUGAAAUUGUCAAAAGGGAAGCGUUUGACACCAGUGUUGUUUUCCUCGAAAAUCAAUUAAAAAUGGCUCGAUUUUGUAUUGUUGAGACCUUAAAAGCUCACUGUACAUUUUUCGUGUCUUUUUUAAUGCACUUUUCGUUUAACAAGUCAACAUCAGUUUCUUUUGUUGUAAAAGGGUCAUUGGAAGGUGGCUUUCUUUUCGGAGAAAGUGUUUAUAGCCUUUGGCCUCUGCAAUCGAAGAGACUGAGGUCUGCAGCGUAGACUCUUCGGGGUUAGAUACAUUUGUGCUAAGUUAUAGCUUUUUAUAGACAACUUGUUGACUAUAAUUAGUCUUGUAGCUUACUCGCUUAUGCUAUUUUACCUACGCUUAGGAUGUUGAAGAUGUAGCACAUCAU